Oncorhynchus tshawytscha (Chinook salmon) is the source of this 550-nucleotide long non-coding RNA. The record is from Ensembl. Lineage: Eukaryota; Metazoa; Chordata; Actinopteri; Salmoniformes; Salmonidae.
AGGAGAGAGAGAUGGAGACGUGGGGAGAGAGAGAUGGAGACGUGGGGAGAGAGAGAGAGAUGGAGACGUGGGGGAGAGAGAGAUGGAGACGUGGGGAGAGAGAGAUGGAGACGUGGGGAGAGAGAAAGAGAUGGAGACAUGGGGAGAGAGAGAAGAAGAGGUGGGGGAGAGAGAGAGUUGUGGAGAGGUGGGGAGAGAGAGAUAUGGAGAGGUGUGGGAGAGAGAGAGAUGGAGAGGUGUGGGAGAGAGAGAGAUGGAGAGGUGGGGAGAGAAAGAGCGAUGGAGAUGUGGGGAGAGAGAGAGAUGGAGACAUGGGGAGAGAGAGAGAGAUAUGGAGAGGUGGGGUGGGGAGAGAGAGAGAUGGGAGAGAGAGAGAGAGAUGGAGACGUGGGGAGAGAGAGAGAUGGAGAGGUGGGGAGAGAGAGAUGGAGAGGUGGGGGAAAGGAGAAAUGGAGACGUGGGGAGAGAGAGAUAUAUGGAUAGGUGGGGAGAGAGAUAUGGAGAGGUGGGGAGAGAGAGAGAGAGAGAUGGAGACAUGGGGAGAGAGAGA